This 525-nucleotide ribosomal RNA is filed under the name uncultured bacterium. RNAcentral describes it as "bacterial SSU rRNA". It matches the Rfam family "Bacterial small subunit ribosomal RNA", at positions 8 to 518 of the family's 1533-position model. The record is from RNAcentral.
AGAGUUGAUCAUGGCUCAGGAUGAACGCUGGCGGCGUGCCUAAUACAUGCAAGUCGAGCGAACAGAUAAGGAGCUGCUCCUUGACGUAGCGGCGGACGGUGAGUAACACGUGGGUAACCUACCUAUAAGACUGGAAUAACUCCGGGAAACCGGGGCUAAUGCCGGAUAACAUUUAGAACCGCAUGGUUCUAAAGUGAAAGAUGGUUUUUGCUAUCACUUAUAGAUGGACCCGCGCCGUAUUAGCUAGUUGGUAAGGUAACGGCUUACCAAGGCAACGAUACGUAGCCGACCUGAGAGGGUGAUCGGCCACACUGGAACUGAGACACGGUCCAGACUCCUACGGGAGGCAGCAGUAGGGAAUCUUCCGCAAUGGGCGAAAGCCUGACGGAGCAACGCCGCGUGAAGUGAUGAAGGUCUUCGGAUUGUAAAACUCUGUUAUUAGGGAAGAACAAAUGUGUAAGUAACUAUGCACGUCUUGACGGUACCUAAUCAGAAAGCCACGGCUAACUACGUGCCAGCCGCGGC